This 601-nucleotide ribosomal RNA is filed under the name Trichoderma harzianum. Its description in RNAcentral is "eukaryotic LSU rRNA". The stretch from base 234 to 387 matches the Rfam family "5.8S ribosomal RNA". The record is from RNAcentral. Lineage: Eukaryota; Fungi; Ascomycota; Sordariomycetes; Hypocreales; Hypocreaceae.
UCUCCGUUGGUGAACCAGCGGAGGGAUCAUUACCGAGUUUACAACUCCCAAACCCAAUGUGAACGUUACCAAACUGUUGCCUCGGCGGGAUCUCUGCCCCGGGUGCGUCGCAGCCCCGGACCAAGGCGCCCGCCGGAGGACCAACCAAAACUCUUAUUGUAUACCCCCUCGCGGGUUUUUUUAUAAUCUGAGCCUUCUCGGCGCCUCUCGUAGGCGUUUCGAAAAUGAAUCAAAACUUUCAACAACGGAUCUCUUGGUUCUGGCAUCGAUGAAGAACGCAGCGAAAUGCGAUAAGUAAUGUGAAUUGCAGAAUUCAGUGAAUCAUCGAAUCUUUGAACGCACAUUGCGCCCGCCAGUAUUCUGGCGGGCAUGCCUGUCCGAGCGUCAUUUCAACCCUCGAACCCCUCCGGGGGGUCGGCGUUGGGGAUCGGCCCUCCCUUAGCGGGUGGCCGUCUCCGAAAUACAGUGGCGGUCUCGCCGCAGCCUCUCCUGCGCAGUAGUUUGCACACUCGCAUCGGGAGCGCGGCGCGUCCACAGCCGUUAAACACCCAACUUCUGAAAUGUUGACCUCGGAUCAGGUAGGAAUACCCGCUGAACUUAA